Molecule: long non-coding RNA, 8454 nt
Organism: Aedes albopictus (Asian tiger mosquito)
Lineage: Eukaryota; Metazoa; Arthropoda; Insecta; Diptera; Culicidae
Exons: 3
Source: RefSeq, a predicted model, not a curated record
UUAUAGCGGAAGCUUAAAAGAAUUUCUGAAAAAGUGCCUGUGAGUUUGUUAAUAAAUUUUUGAUGGAAAUUCCGAACGAAUUUAUAGCCGCGUUUAACAACAAUUUAUUUUUAGCAAUGCUCUUUAGAUUCUGUCAGGGCUAUUCCACGAAUUUCUUCUGCAAUUACUUCAACAAAUCUUGGUACCUUUCCAGGACGUUUGUCAUAAAUUAUAUGUCUCAUUAGGGGAAAAACCAUUCCAGAACUUUGAAAGUCUCUAUAAUAAAGAUAAAUCAAUCAAUCAAUUCCAGAGCUUAACCUUAUUUUUCCAAAGAAAUUCAGUCCGAAAUUCUUCAUGAGAUUCAUACCAUACAAUGUUCGGUGGUAGAAGUGUUAAUUAUAAUGGUAAAAGCUUUAUUUAUUUGCGAAUCAUAAUGGAAAACAAAAAUAAAAAUACAAUUAAAUCCUUUGAGCAUUCACUAAAAUGCGAGAUUUUAAGAUCGUUUGCGCUGGCUCAAGCCAACGCGGAUUAGAAACCGUCUAAGCAGAAUACCCUCUUCGAUUGAGUGAAAUGAGUUUUUGAUACAUUUUACUGUGACGUUACAACGUCUAGACGCCUUUUCUGUCAGAAUUUCCACUAUAACUCGUAAAUUCGACCGAAAACCCUCAAAUAUUUAUACAUAUUCGAAUUCCUUGUAAAAUUUCCAAUAAGUAUGAUCUGUUGAACAGUAAGUUUUCAUUGGGAAAGUAUGUUAAAAAUGGGAAUGAGUGGCGUGGCGUUACAACGUUGUAACGUUACGGUACUAAUUCCCAUUUUAACAUACUUUUCCAAAGAAAACUAGCUGUUUAACAGAUUAAACUUAUUGGAAAUUUUACAAGGAUUCCGAAUAUGCAAAAAUAUUUGAAGGUUUACGGUCGAAUUUACGAGUUAUAGUUGAAAAUCUGACAGAAAAGGUGUCAAAACGUUGUAACGUCACGGUAGAAUGUGUCUUUUGAAGCUUAUAGUUUCGCUCUCUAAUGGUUAUUUUUUGACAAAUAUGUGUAUUUCGAAUACCCGGGAUUUCAAAAUACGUAUAUCUGUUAAAAUUAGAGUGAAACUAUAAAGUAGAAAAGCUUAUUUCACUCAAAAUAUUUAAAACUAUAAUGAUAUUUAAAAUGGACUUACCUGUACUGUGAUGCUGCUUUCACUAUUAAUAAACAAAAUGGCAUUCACUGAGUUCACCGAAAACAUGAAUACACACUGAGUCCUUGAAAAUCCACUAUGGGUAUACAUAAACUGUGGUAAAAGAUCACAAUUAUGGCAGAUGAGUGAUGUUGAGCUCCCAUACAAAACUUUUAGGGUGAUAUAGCUCAAAAUGCCAUAUUUCAUACUUACUACGAUUUCCCUCUUACAACAACGUCAAUGUUUAAUAAAAGGGAUAAGAGAAACACUUUCAAAACUUAUGCAUUUUUUUUAUUUUUUUUAAAUGUGUUCAAAAUGUGGUUCGUUAAUCCUUCAUGGUGUAGCUUAUGCCUUAUGCACAAUAAAAUCCAAGCACUCAUACAUUCACUUAAAUAUAUGGUGCCAUUUAUUUUUAGCUGACUCAAUGAUCACCCAAACGUGUUGAAGGAUUGCAUGGGAUUUCGUGAAAAAAGAAUCUUAUUACUCAAAUUGUGCGUAUUUCAUAACAAAAAAUAUUCGCUUUAAUUUUAUCACUUUUAAUAAAUUUCAGUCCAUUCAAAUGACACUUGCGGACCAAUACCUUAGUGAUGAACUUCACGAAAUAUGAGAACAGUUAAUUAAAAACAUUUUACUAAAAAUCAAAAUCUGAACACGUUUGAUACAUUUUCGAAACGUUACAACUUAAAUAUUUACUUAUAAGAAAUGUUUACCUAUCCCAAUUGCAAAAUUUACAAUCACAGAAUAGGAACUUGGAUUCUAAAACAUGAAAUGUUAAAUAAUUUGAGUAUUAUGGCAUCAACAACCAAGCGUCUCUAUCUUCCAUACAAACUCAUCACACCCCAUAUGGUCCCAUAUUCAACAACAGUAACCAGUAACAACGAAAUUCUAAUUAUCGAUAUAACAAAAACAUAAACGAUAUAUUUAUCUAAAAUUAGAUUUUGACUUAAUUUUAUUGAAUUUUGAUUAUGGUUCUCGCAAUGAAAUUCAAAUGCUACAAACCGAUGAGUCUUUAUUAUUUUUUUUUCUAUGAGUGAUGUCUCACAAAUGUAUAACAAUAUGCUACUUUACCAAAAAGCCUUCAUUUUUAUCAAAAGUAAAAUAAUUUGUCAUAAAACAGUGUUUAAAUCAUCAUGAUGGAAAACAAUAAGAUUUUCGAUUCAAGUCCAAACCAAGAAAGUAUGAAGAGCUACUCAAAAUAGGUUAUUUUAAAUGAGUUUCGUAAAAAAAAAUGAUUUGUCAAUUACACACUGAUUUACUUAUUUUACUAGUGUAAGACCUCGAGGUGUAUAUGUGCAAAAUAUACCCCUGUAAUGUUUUCACCAAUACGCACUCAAAUUCAUUACCCAAAUAAAUUCACAUGUGCAAACGUAUUAGAGAAUCUAUUACAUACGUCACUCAAUUUUUCAUGCUUCAGAGGCUUAACACUCAUCCAUUGUUCAUCCAUUCCUCAUAUUGUGUGUGGUGCUUCAAUUAAAUCAAAAUGGAAAACGACAUCGAAAUGGUAAGUUUAUUUUAUAAUUUUAACUUAAAUAGACAUCUUUAACACAACACAUCAUCUUACAUUACAACCUAUAGUAUAUGAACCUGUAAAAAUACACAUAUGUUAUUUGUGUCAUGCAAAUCACUCGUCUUAUAAUACAGUAAUUCCUCCAUGUGGGAUGUAGCUUCGUUCCACGAAGGAGAAAGUAAGUCCCUUGUUAGUCUCGAAUAAAACGCACACAAUACACUCCUCUAAAUGUGAACAACCUAUAAGUAGAUAGUUUAUGACACCGUAUUGUAAGAAAUCGGACAUACAAUUGCUUCUUUAAUCCUCGAGCAGUCGCGUCUUCGACCACCCUCAGCGACACCACGUUCAUGCUGUUAUUUUCAUGGUUACAAGCGUGUUAUUUUCAUGGUGCGUGUACUCUGUACACGAUGCAAUCGCUGUACGCGGGUGAACGGUAUUGAGAUAAUUUCAUGCCCGGGAGCAUAUUUAAAAAUCAAUUUGAAGGUGAUUUCAAAAAAUCUUAUUUUAAAUUAAUUUUGAGUAUCAAAAUAAAGUUCUAAAAAUCUAAAAAAAAAGUCACAGUGGCUCAGAAAAGAAGGGCUCUUUCGUGCAAAAUUAAAAAUCCAAAUAAUUUUCUUUAACUUAAAAACCCAAUUGUUAUUUGUACAACAGGUUUAAUUUUUAGGAUUGAGUAUUGCACAAAUUGUAUGCAAUUUUUUUUGUAAUUUCGAAUACCAUUCAGAUUCGGAUUCGAUCUAGUCAGUGGCUGUAGAAGCAGCAGCUGAAUCUGUGGAAGACAUACUGCCGAUCUUCUGCAAAGGAACGUGAGUAACAAUGUUGGCACAUGUCUGGUUUUAUCCAUCAAACUCUUGAUCGUUCGCUAUGUUAUCUUCCAUAGAUGCUAGAUUUACCAAUAGAUCUUGCAUUUUAAUAUAGCAGACAUACCACAGUGUUAUUAUUUCACCAGAUAACUAGAGACGUCAACAAAUGGCGCUUACGUCACUUUUCAGAAUCUUAGCAGCACGGUGGUAAGUUAAAAAGUGUGUUUAUGUUAAUAUAUUUUAAAUCAUACAUUUUGCAAAAGUUGUUCAACUAGCUUAAAGCAUCUAUUUGCAUCAGAAUUAUGAUAUUAUCUGUAUAUAGCUAAAGAUAAAUCAAGAAAAUUUGUCCAUUAUCUCUUAUAUAUUGUUUAUUUACCUUCAUUAUUGACAACUUCAAAUUUCUCAAAAUUACUCAAUAUUGGAAAAGAAUUUUGUUAAUUUCGUUAAUUUUAUACAGCUUUAUAACUUAGUAUUUACAGACGAGAGGCAUAAAUAACAUGAAAUAAUUUAUCAACUUCAUAUGAUGGAACAGACUGCCUGUAAUCGCAUAUCAGCACCUUAUUUGCUGAGUACCCAAUCCAAGUGGAAUUGAUAUGCGAUUAAAAGGCAGUAGAGUCAAUUUCAUCUUAAGCACUCAAUCUCGAAGAACUAAUCUGUGCAUAACGUUUACUAAAUAGUUAUGGUAUUAUUUUGAUUAUUUAUAGAUACUUUCUGCACUGGAAAAAUCGCAAAGAAAUCUAGAAAUAAAAAUUAAAAAAAAAGAUCAACCGGAAAAAGAAGUUGGAGAUAAGGAAGUAAUAUAAAAAUUACCAUUUUUAAAUUUCUAAUCUAUCUCAAUGAAAUAUGAACAAAACAAUCAAUCAAUUCGGUAACGCAAAUAUUCUUCAAAACUAUAGAAGAUUUAUAUAGAUAUUUUAUGUUUCAUCUUACUGUCAACUAUCACAAUGUUUGAUUCAUAACUAUCCACUAAAAUAUUGAUCUUUUAAACAAUAUUUAAAUACUGGUUAACAUCUCAACCACAUUUUCUACACCAAGCAAAUAUUUAACCAAAACUUGAUAAAACAUAUAAUUAAGAAUGUUUAUAUAUAAACAUUUUACCUCAUUUUGGGUAUCCAAGAUAAGUGCUUUUCUCUUGCUGUCAUAGUUUUAUAAUUGCUUUUCUAUAACAACUUUAUUGCCGUGCACAACAUAGUUGUACAAUGUCCUAUGGGAAUUCCUAUCAAUGUGGGACAACUAUGCUGCACACGACAAUUUCAUACGGUGCACUCUUCUUUCAAGUCUAGUUAGGCUGAUACAAAUUUAUUUUUGACUUUUUGUCUCCCCCCCCCCCUUCAAAAAUUUUUGGCUGGAAUUUGCAUUCUGAGGGGGCAGAUAAAAAAAUAUUUAUCAAAAUAUCGGGUCUUGCCAAAAAAUCUUUAACAAAUCCGAUGAGUUUUUAACAUUUUUCAAAUAAAAUGCUUUAUUAUUUUUAUUCCCUCCCCCCCCCCCCCUCGACCAGCCAAAGAGUGGUGGGACAAAAAGUGAAAUAAAUAUUUGUAACGGCCUUUAUUCGUGAAAAAUAAAAACAUUAUUGAGAGGAGGUUUGUUCAUAUUUCAAUCCUUUUGAAUCGUAUUAUAUAUAAUUAACCUUCUAUUUGAUUUUAAGGAAACAGAUAUCAUUGAAAUACAAAUGAUCGUUCGAAAUCUGCUCGAAAUGGCAGCAAAAAUUAUGAAUCGGUUGAACCAAAUGUCCAUAAGAAACAAAAAUAAUGUGAGAGAGAAGCUGGAAAGUAUAAUCAGCGAAAUUCGAAGAGCGUCAAAAAAAUAUAAAUAAACUAAUAUUUCCAAUAAAUAAAACAAUUAUGUUUUCAAUAAAUCUUCACUUUUCAAGUACUUUUUCUGAAUAGAUAGAGCAGUGAUCAUCAAACUGUAAAGGAUUUGUGCCACCAGCGAUCUGACUUCGUAAUACAUAUAUUUGAAUAUAACCCGCUAAAAGAUUGCAAAAACCAACAUUGUGCCAAUGAAACCCCUGUAAAGCAAAAAAUAAUAAUUCCUAAACAAAAGAAAAUGAACAAAAAGCUAUGCUAAAUCAGUAUAGUUAACUUUAAAAAUGAUUAAAUUUGUUUCAUUAAAGAACAUUUAGUUCUGACAAGUUUGAUGUAAGGUACACCGGGACAAGUUGAAACAACGGGUUAACGUGAUGUUAUCCAACGAUGGUGACCAGAUCAAAUGACAUAACACAUAGUUUUUAAUUCAAACAAUCUUUUGGCGAAAGACACAUUUCUAGAAAGUAUUGAAAACUAUUUCAAAACUUCGCGUUUCAUCUUGCCCCACCCGUUUCAACUUGCCCCGGUGUACCUUAAGUUUUCUCUCAACACUGAAUUUUGUGUUCCAUGACAAAUUUACCUUUGGAUUUCCUUUGAAAUCUUAAUCCUGAAAAUUUUGAAAAUAUUUUGAAAGUAAUUUAAUACUACUAUAAAUAUCCUAUAUAUGUUUGACAUUGUUAUAACAUGAUUUUUACUUUAAUUUUUAAACUUUGUAACUCUAUAUACACUAAAUUACCAAAUUUACCACAGUAACUUAGUUCGUUACGAAGGCAUAAGUUUCUACAAAAUAAAUAUAUUAUGUUCUAAACGAAGAAUUUAGAUAAGGCUCUAGGAGCCUAUUGUGGCCCGCAUAGACAGUAAGCCUGAGGAAUUGAAAAAAAUGAAGUGAUUAUAUUGCGCAUUUCCCACCCACUGGACCCCUUUCGCAGUUAGUAUAAGUGCGGGAUCGUGAAUAAAACUGCGAUUUUGCAUCGAAUCGUGUCGGUGUCUUCUGCGAACUUAUGCAUUACAAGGUGCUGAACAAGUGCGCAGAACCGAAACGCCAUCAAAUACUGUUCAUAUUUAUUUGCACAAUUUUUAUGUUCAAAUAAAAAAAAACUCGAUUUUUUUGUACAACACUUUAACUGCGGAACGUUUUAAAGAACUAGAUCAAACUUAACAUAAAUGCUAUAACUAAUCGGCAAAGAAAAAUGUGAAACAGUGUUUUAAUUAUUUGAUAACUUAAUAACAUUUGAACUGGUUGAAGAGACAUUUAUGUAAAUCAUAUUUCAGCGUCUUGUAAAUCUCAUCGAGAAACAAUUGCUAUUAAUCAACCAGCUCACAGAGAAAAAUCCCGCAGAUCAGCUAUUACAACAUGAGCAGAAAUUGAAGAAUAUGCUGCAGGAAAUUUACAACAGUGACGAAGAGGUGUGUCCCAAUCAGGAACACUUUGUUCUAUUAACCAAGGUAAAAUUUCAAAUAUUACUAUUCACACGAUAUUCACCAAUAGUGUGCCAAAUGAAAACAUUUAAACUUUAUAAUCUAUCAUGUUUCAGGAACACAAUAUCCAACAACUAGCUGUAAGUAAAAACAAAAAUUAAAUAUUUUGUUCAAAUGAACAAUGUUAUUAUCUUCUACAGCGCGCUAGAGUGCUGGAAGAUCUAAUGAAAGAGUUGCAUAUUUAUGUGGACAGCAUUGAAGAAACUCCACCAACCCGGAUGGUAACAUCCUUUUUAUUAUAUAUUUAUUUUUGUAAUUUUAUGUCAUUAUCUUUACUAUACUAAAAAUGUAUAUUCUAUAACCAAGCAAAAGCAUUAGAAAUUAAUUAACUGCCGUAACUAUCACUUAUGCUCAAAAAUUAGUCUUAUGAGUAAAACAAGCGUUAUUCUAUGCAUUCAAUUCUCCAUUAAUAUGAACCUUAUAUGAUCCUGGAAAAGCAUACCAUAUUAAAAAGAAGAAAAAAGUAUUGUUUUUGCAAGGUUUAAUUAAUUACUCAAAGUUUUCACUUAUAAUUGUAAAUUUUGAUUAAUUAUUUAAUUGAUAAAGGUGAGUGAGUUGUAUUAAUGACUAAUGAUGAAAUUCUCAAAUAAUGUGAUCAAUAAUAACGUAUUAAAAUUAGUAAUUUUAACCAUUGAUCAUAAUAAAUUUACAAUUCAUUAAUAAACCUUUCAAACUAACACUACUAAAUGUUGAUGUUGAAUCAACCCUACUAAGAGCCGAUGAUGCAAAAUGCCGUUGUUCACUUGAAGAAUCCAUUAAAACCCAAUUUAAUUCAUAACCAUGGAUUAUUAAAAAACAAUAGUAUUUUGCUUAAUAUGGUUAAUGGGUGUGAAAAUGUUUUAGAAACGUGAAAUUUAUUCAUUAUUUCAUUGUUUUGCAGUCGAAGCAUAUGUUCUUGAUAAAGGCGAAACAAUAUCAGCUUCUGCAAAAAAGCAAAAACAUAUUGAAGUCGAAACGCAAUCCAACAGCUAAAGCUAACAUUCGGCAAAAAAUUUACGAGACGCAUAUGAGUGCUGUGGAAGCGCUUGAAGAGCUGCUGCGACGUUAAUUAAAAAAAUCUCCAGAACUUUUUGUCGUUUGUUUUUUCAUUAGUUGAAGCUUUCAUUAUUAAAAAUUAAACAAAACGGAAUUGUGCUUUUGUUUGUUGUCAAAAUUGGAAAUUCUCUUAACUUACAGAAGUGUUGAGCAUAUCCAUGGAAUAUUGGACGAAAUAGUGCUCAUUGACCGAUGUAAAUUAAAAAUAUUCAAUAUUGUUUGUUUUAAUUGGCUUUUAUCGAUGAAUUACAAAGCUGUGAAGAAAUUAUAAGAAAAGUUGCAUGUAUUAUCUCUUCGUAACGCGAAGGAAACAUUUAUUCAUAAAAAAAAACGAGUAAAGUGUUUGCAUUCUAUGGCAGAUACGUAUUUUGACCUCAACUGUAUCAAGACAAUGACAAAAUGUCGAAAGACAAAACGUCGAAACGUGAAAGAACGAGCGUCAUUAACGAGAAUAAGGAAUCAUUUGCUUAAAUUACUCGUUUUCAACGUGUUGUCCUUUUUUUGGCAUUCAACGUUUUAUUUUUCGACGUUUUGUCGCUAAGCCUCCAUCUACAUAUAUAUGAACAUUUAAAAAUUAUUAUUAAGAAACAUUUUAUUUUCUUGGAAUGAGAAAUUUUCAACAAUUUUAAAACAAAACUAACAUAUGAUUUUCUAAUUAUUCCAUUAUUCUGAACCCUUUUGAAUUUGA